Molecule: ribosomal RNA, 793 nt
Filed under: uncultured bacterium
Lineage: Bacteria
Description: bacterial SSU rRNA
Rfam family: Bacterial small subunit ribosomal RNA
Source: RNAcentral
AGAGUUUGAUCAUGGCUCAGAUUGAACGCUGGCGGCAGGCCUAACACAUGCAAGUCGAGCGGAUGAAGGGAGCUUGCUCCUGGAUUCAGCGGCGGACGGGUGAGUAAUGCCUAGGAAUCUGCCUGGUAGUGGGGGAUAACGUCCGGAAACGGGCGCUAAUACCGCAUACGUCCUGAGGGAGAAAGUGGGGGAUCUUCGGACCUCACGCUAUCAGAUGAGCCUAGGUCGGAUUAGCUAGUUGGUGGGGUAAAGGCUUACCAAGGCGACGAUCCGUAACUGGUCUGAGAGGAUGAUCAGUCACACUGGAACUGAGACACGGUCCAGACUCCUACGGGAGGCAGCAGUGGGGAAUAUUGGACAAUGGGCGCAAGCCUGAUCCAGCCAUACCGCGUGGGUGGAGAAGGCCUUCGGGUUGUAAAGCCCUUUUGUUGGGAAAGAAAUCCUGUCGAUUAAUACUCGGUGGGGAUGACGGUACCCAAAGAAUAAGCACCGGCUAACUUCGUGCCAGCAGCCGCGGUAAUACGAAGGGUGCAAGCGUUACUCGGAAUUACUGGGCGUAAAGCGUGCGUAGGUGGUGGUUUAAGUCUGCUGUGAAAGCCCUGGGCUCAACCUGGGAAUUGCAGUGGAUACUGGAUCACUAGAGUGUGGUAGAGGGAUGCGGAAUUUCUGGUGUAGCAGUGAAAUGCGUAGAGAUCAGAAGGAACAUCCGUGGCGAAGGCGGCAUCCUGGGCCAACACUGACACUGAGGCACGAAAGCGUGGGGAGCAAACAGGAUUAGAUACCCUGGUAGUCC